Hipposideros armiger (great roundleaf bat) is the source of this 1446-nucleotide long non-coding RNA. RefSeq lists it as uncharacterized. The transcript is spliced from 4 exons. The record is from RefSeq and is a predicted model, not a curated record. NCBI's taxonomy places the organism in Eukaryota, Metazoa, Chordata, Mammalia, Chiroptera, Hipposideridae.
CCAAACUCGGAGUCCUACAAAUGGCUCAUUCUGAGCAGAAGGCUCAGGUCUAAAUUACCAGCAGAUCUUCAGACACACAACACUUUGUGGGGCGGUGUUCGGAGUAGAGAAACCGGGUGCCUAGGUGUAAACCCUUGCACCUCGUCUACAAAUCCCCCUCAAGGUGGAAACAAGGAAAACCCAGCCAGAGCAGCCACGAAGUUGAGUCCAGGACGUCUCAUACAGGUUGAAAACGGAUAACAAUGGCGCAGAGAUGUUGAAUCAAGGCAAGUUGGAUGGUCCUCCCAGAGGCUCCCAUGGAGUGACCUUUUUUUUUGAGUAUUCAUUACGGUAUAUGAUCUAGAAACUCUGCUGCACCAGGAAUUGGAUCUUGGGCAUUCUCAGAGUUGACAGGUCUCAGGGAGACUGGCUCACAGACUCACAAGAGACUGAUGCGUAUAUCAGAAUGCCAAUUAAUACCAGUUAAUUGAGAGAGAACGGAUGACCUCCCUCUUCAGUGCCUGGAGAGCUUUCAUUUCCCACCCAGGCAACCGCCAUUCCCCCAGCCGGAAUGUCAGGAAAACUCGCAGUCACGAGACACUGCUUCAUGAGUGUGGAGUCAGAGCAAGGGGGAGUGAUGUCAUGAGGAGAUUAACUGAAGUUUACUCCUCCAGACGGCAAACUUGGUCUUUCAUUAGAGAAAUUUUCGAUGAUACAGUUUUUUCACUGUUGGACUCCUGAGAGGGAGUGAUUUUGGCAUCGUAGAGAUGAUGAACCUUCAGCCAAGACAGCCGAUGAAAAAUUCCAUGGAUCAAUUUGUUUUAGUGGAAAGGUUUUGAGGUUUGGGACGGGCAAACGAGAUUGCACUCCCUAACUAUAUGAAGUUGGACAUGUUCCUUAACCUUUCAGGCCUGCAGAUUCGUCAACUGUAAAAUAGAGAUAAUAAUAUUCAUGUCUGCUGUGCACUGAAUGUGUGCAUCCCCCCAAAAUGCAUACGUUAAAACCUGAUCCCGAACGUGAUGGUAUUAGGAGGCGGGGCCUUUGGGAGGUGAUCAGAUCAUGAGGGUGAAGCCCUCAUGAAUGAGAUAAGUGCCUUUUAUAAAAGAGACCCAAGGGAGCACCCUUGCAUCUCAGCCAUUUGAGGACAAUGAGAAGACGGCUGUCUACGAACCAGGAAGUGGACCCUCAACAGAUACUGAGUCUGUUGGCACCUUGUUCUUGAACUUCCCAGCUUUCAGAACUGUGAAAAAUACAUUUCUGUUGUUCAUAAGCCACUCAGUCUAUGGAAUUCUGUUAUAGCAGCCUGAAUAGACCAAGGUAAGGUCACAGGGUUGUUUGAACAAUUAAAUGAUAUAAGGUGAUAAUUAAAUGCAUCACCUCGCUUGGCACUUGGCUGAUGCUAAACAAAUAUGGUUCCUUUUAAUUUUAACACUAGAUGAAAAUUUUGGCUGAUACUUUUUUCCACUU